AUGAGUUAGGGUCUACUUCAGGCCCGAUCUCCCAACCCCCUGUUUAUUAAAUCUGUGUUGCUUCGGCGAGCCCGUCCUCAUAGGACCGCCGGAGGACCACCGAAAGGUGGCCUCUGGCCCGCGCUCGCCGAUGGCCCCAACCACAACAACUCUUGAAUAAACCAUGUCUUGAACUUGUCUGAGUUACAUUUAUGAAAAUAAAGCA
This 205-nucleotide unclassified non-coding RNA is filed under the name uncultured Chaetothyriales. Its description in RNAcentral is "sequence contains ITS1". Lineage: Eukaryota; Fungi; Ascomycota; Eurotiomycetes; Chaetothyriales. The record is from RNAcentral.